UACGAAGGGGGCUAGCGUUGUUCGGAAUUACUGGGCGUAAAGCGCACGUAGGCGGCUUCUUAAGUCAGGGGUGAAAUCCUGGAGCUCAACUCCAGAACUGCCUUUGAUACUGGGAGGCUCGAGUCCGGGAGAGGUGAGUGGAACUGCGAGUGUAGAGGUGAAAUUCGUAGAUAUUCGCAAGAACACCAGUGGCGAAGGCGGCUCACUGGCCCGGUACUGACGCUGAGGUGCGAAAGCGUGGGGAGCAAACAGG
This 253-nucleotide ribosomal RNA is filed under the name uncultured bacterium. RNAcentral describes it as "partial 16S ribosomal RNA". It matches the Rfam family "Bacterial small subunit ribosomal RNA", at positions 524 to 776 of the family's 1533-position model. The record is from RNAcentral.